Molecule: transfer RNA, 82 nt
Filed under: Sorex araneus (European shrew)
Lineage: Eukaryota; Metazoa; Chordata; Mammalia; Eulipotyphla; Soricidae
Description: tRNA-Ser (AGA) (tRNA-Ser-AGA-3-1)
Rfam family: tRNA
About the family: Transfer RNA (tRNA) molecules are approximately 80 nucleotides in length. Their secondary structure includes four short double-helical elements and three loops (D, anti-codon, and T loops).
Source: RNAcentral
GUAGUCGUGGCCGAGUGGUUAAGGCCAUGGACUAGAAAUCCAUUGGGGUCUCCCUGUGCAGGUUCAAAGCCUGCUGACUAUG